This is a small nucleolar RNA of Leucoraja erinaceus (little skate), 68 nucleotides long. RefSeq annotates it as small nucleolar RNA SNORD58. The transcript has a single exon. The record is from RefSeq and is a predicted model, not a curated record. NCBI's taxonomy places the organism in Eukaryota, Metazoa, Chordata, Chondrichthyes, Rajiformes, Rajidae.
UUACGGUGAUGACCAUCUUAGGACACCUUUGGAUUAUACAUGAAAAUGAUGUAAAAGUUCUGAGUGAC